This 58-nucleotide transfer RNA is filed under the name Loxodonta africana (African savanna elephant). It matches the Rfam family "tRNA", at positions 8 to 63 of the family's 71-position model. From Rfam's summary of the family: Transfer RNA (tRNA) molecules are approximately 80 nucleotides in length. Their secondary structure includes four short double-helical elements and three loops (D, anti-codon, and T loops). Further hydrogen bonds mediate the characteristic L-shaped molecular structure. tRNAs have two regions of fundamental functional importance: the anti-codon, which is responsible for specific mRNA codon recognition, and the 3' end, to which the tRNAs corresponding amino acid is attached (by aminoacyl-tRNA synthetases). tRNAs cope with the degeneracy of the genetic code in two manners: having more than one tRNA (with a specific anti-codon) for a particular amino acid; and 'wobble' base-pairing, i.e. permitting non-standard base-pairing at the 3rd anti-codon position. Lineage: Eukaryota; Metazoa; Chordata; Mammalia; Proboscidea; Elephantidae. The record is from Rfam by way of RNAcentral.
UAGCCCAGUUGGUAGAGCACCAGACUUUUAAUCUGAGGGGCCAGGGUUCAUGUCCCUG